This 495-nucleotide ribosomal RNA is filed under the name uncultured bacterium. Its description in RNAcentral is "partial 16S ribosomal RNA". It matches the Rfam family "Bacterial small subunit ribosomal RNA", at positions 28 to 507 of the family's 1533-position model. The record is from RNAcentral.
GACGAACGCUGGCGGCGUGCCUAAUACAUGCAAGUAGAACGCUGAAGGAGGAGCUUGCUUCUCUGGAUGAGUUGCGAACGGGUGAGUAACGCGUAGGUAACCUGCCUGGUAGCGGGGGAUAACUAUUGGAAACGAUAGCUAAUACCGCAUAAGAGUAGAUGCUGCAUGACAUUUGCUUAAAAGGUGCAAUUGCAUCACUACCAGAUGGACCUGCGUUGUAUUAGCUAGUUGGUGGGGUAACGGCUCACCAAGGCGACGAUACAUAGCCGACCUGAGAGGGUGAUCGGCCACACUGGGACUGAGACACGGCCCAGACUCCUACGGGAGGCAGCAGUAGGGAAUCUUCGGCAAUAGACGGAAGUCUGACCGAGCAACGCCGCGUGAGUGAAGAAGGGUUUCGGAUCGUAAAGCUCUGUUGUAAGAGAAGAACGAGUGUGAGAGUGGAAAGUUCACACUGUGACGGUAUCUUACCAGAAAGGGACGGCUAACUACGUG